UUUCGGGGUGGGUCGACCGGUCUGCCGAUGGGUACGCACUGGCCGACGCGUCCUUCCUUCCGGAGACCGUCUCACUCUUAACUGAGCGGAGGCGGGAGACGGAACGUUUACUUUGAAAAAAUCAGAGUGUUUCAAGCAGGCAGCUCGCUUUUGCAUGGAUUAGCAUGGGAUAAUGAAAUAGGACUUUGGUGCUAUUUUGUUGGUUUCGAACACCGAAGUAAUGAUGAGAAGGGACAGUCAGGGGCACUCGUAUUCCGCCGAGAGAGGUGAAAUUCUCAGACCAGCGGAAGACGAACCACUGCGAAAGCAUUUGCCAGGGAUGUUUUCACUGAUCAAGAACGAAAGUUAGGGGAUCGAAGACGAUCAGAUACCGUCGUAGUCUUAACCAUAAACCAUGCCGACUAGGGAUUGGAGGAUGUUCACUUAUUGACUUCUUCAGCACCUUACGGGAAACUAAAGUCUUUGGGUUCCGGGGGGAGUAUGGUCGCAAGGCUGAAACUUAAAGGAAUUGACGGAAGGGCACCACCAGGUGUGGAGCCUGCGGCUUAAUUUGACUCAACACGGGGAAACUUACCAGGUCCAGACAUUGUGAGGAUUGACAGAUUGAGAGCUCUUUCUUGAUUCGAUGGGUGGUGGUGCAUGGCCGUUCUUAGUUGGUGGAGUGAUUUGUCUGGUUAAUUCCGUUAACGAACGAGACCUUAGCCUGCUAAAUAGUGACGCGAACACUUCGUUCGCGGUCCACUUCUUAGAGGGACAACUUGUCUUCAACAAGUGGAAGUU
This 780-nucleotide ribosomal RNA is filed under the name Haptophyta environmental samples. RNAcentral describes it as "SSU rRNA". It matches the Rfam family "Eukaryotic small subunit ribosomal RNA", at positions 640 to 1445 of the family's 1831-position model. The record is from RNAcentral. Lineage: Eukaryota; Haptophyta.